GCGGUGAAAUGCGUAGAUAUCGAGAGGAACACCUGCGGCGAAGGCGGGUAGCUGGGCCGACACUGACGCUGAUGCGCGAAAGCCAGGGGAGCGAACGGGAUUAGAUACCCCGGUAGUCCUGGCCUUAAACGAUGGAUACUUGGUGUCCGAGGUUACAUAGUCCUCGGGUGCCGGCGCUAACGCAUUAAGUAUCCCGCCUGGGGAGUACGGUCGCAAGACUGAAACUCAAAGGAAUUGACGG
This 241-nucleotide ribosomal RNA is filed under the name uncultured bacterium. Its description in RNAcentral is "partial 16S ribosomal RNA". It matches the Rfam family "Bacterial small subunit ribosomal RNA", at positions 678 to 916 of the family's 1533-position model. The record is from RNAcentral.